GGGAAAUUAGUUUAACGGUAAAACAAGGGCAUUGAUAGAUUGGAAUGUACGCAAGCUUAAAAGAUGUACUACCCUGGUUAUCGGUUCGAUUCCGAUAUUUUCCA
Molecule: transfer RNA, 104 nt
Filed under: Crassvirales sp.
Lineage: Duplodnaviria; Heunggongvirae; Uroviricota; Caudoviricetes; Crassvirales
Description: tRNA-Ile
Rfam family: tRNA
About the family: Transfer RNA (tRNA) molecules are approximately 80 nucleotides in length. Their secondary structure includes four short double-helical elements and three loops (D, anti-codon, and T loops). Further hydrogen bonds mediate the characteristic L-shaped molecular structure. tRNAs have two regions of fundamental functional importance: the anti-codon, which is responsible for specific mRNA codon recognition, and the 3' end, to which the tRNAs corresponding amino acid is attached (by aminoacyl-tRNA synthetases). tRNAs cope with the degeneracy of the genetic code in two manners: having more than one tRNA (with a specific anti-codon) for a particular amino acid; and 'wobble' base-pairing, i.e. permitting non-standard base-pairing at the 3rd anti-codon position.
Source: RNAcentral